GACGAACGCUGGCGGCGUGCUUAACACAUGCAAGUCGAGCGGUAAGGCCCUUUCGGGGGUACACGAGCGGCGAACGGGUGAGUAACACGUGGGUGACCUGCCCUCAGCUCUGGGAUAAGCCUGGGAAACCGGGUCUAAUACCGGAUAUGACUCCAUGACGCAUGUUGUGGGGUGAAAGCCUUGUGCGGCUGAGGAUGGGCCCGCGGCCUAUCAGCUUGUUGGUGGGGUGAUGGCCUACCAAGGCGACGACGGGUAGCCGGCCUGAGAGGGCGACCGGGCCACACUGGGACUGAGACACGGCCCAGACUCCUACGGGAGGCAGCAGUGGGGAAUCUUGCGUCAAUGGGCGAAAGCCUGACGCAGCGACGCCGCGUGAGGAUGACGGCCU
RNAcentral lists this ribosomal RNA (388 nucleotides) under uncultured bacterium. Its description in RNAcentral is "bacterial SSU rRNA". It matches the Rfam family "Bacterial small subunit ribosomal RNA", at positions 28 to 417 of the family's 1533-position model. The record is from RNAcentral.